AACGAACGCUGGCGGCAGGCCUAACACAUGCAAGUCGCACGAGAAACGGAGCAAUCCGCGGUACAGUGGCGCACGGGUGAGUAACACGUGGAUGACCUUCCCUGGAGUGGUGGAUAACCUGCCGAAAGGCGGGCUAAUACAGCAUGGGACCACGACGCUUUGGCGAUGUGGUGAAAGCGGGCCUCUAUAUAUAAGCUCGCGCUCCGGGACGGGUCCGCGUCCCAUCAGCUAGUUGGUGAGGUAACGGCUCACCAAGGCAACGACGGGUAGCUGGUCUGAGAGGAUGGCCAGCCACACUGGAACUGAGACACGGUCCAGACUCCUACGGGAGGCAGCAGUGGGGAAUCUUGCGCAAUGGGCGAAAGCCUGACGCAGCGACGCCGCGUGGGCGAAGAAGGCCUCGG
This 404-nucleotide ribosomal RNA is filed under the name uncultured bacterium. Its description in RNAcentral is "bacterial SSU rRNA". It matches the Rfam family "Bacterial small subunit ribosomal RNA", at positions 29 to 420 of the family's 1533-position model. The record is from RNAcentral.